GUGUGAGCGGUAUUCCACGCCGUUCGUGCCGCAGCUAACGCAUUAAGCACCCCGCCUGGGGAGUACGGCCGCAAGGCUAAAACUCAAAGGAAUUGACGGGGGCCCGAACAAGCAGCGGAGCAUGUGGCUUAAUUCGACGCAACGCGAAGAACCUUACCAAGGCUUGACAUACACCGAAAACUCGUAGAGAUACGGGGUCCGCAAGGGCGGUGUACAGGUGGUGCAUGGUUGUCGUCAGCUCGUGUCGUGAGAUGUUGGGUUAAGUCCCGCAACGAGCGCAACCCUCGUUCUACGUUGCCAGCGGGUUAUGCCGGGGACUCAUAGGAGACUGCCGGGGUCAACUCGGAGGAAGGUGGGGACGACGUCAAAUCAUCAUGCCCCUUAUGUCUUGGGCUGCACACAUGCUACAAUGGCCGGUACAAAGGGCUGCUAAACCGCGAGGUGGAGCGAAUCCCAAAAAGCCGGUCUCAGUUCGGAUUGGGGUCUGCAACUCGACCCCAUGAAGUCGGAGUUGCUAGUAAUCGCAGAUCAGCAACGCUGCGGUGAAUACGUUCCCGGGCCUUGUACACACCGCCCGUCACGUCACGAAAGUCGGUAACACCCGAAGCCAGUGGCCCAACUCGUGAGAGAGGGAGCUGUCGAAGGUGGGGCUG
RNAcentral lists this ribosomal RNA (653 nucleotides) under uncultured bacterium. RNAcentral describes it as "bacterial SSU rRNA". It matches the Rfam family "Bacterial small subunit ribosomal RNA", at positions 820 to 1470 of the family's 1533-position model. The record is from RNAcentral.